GGGCUCGUAGCUCAGCUGGUUAGAGCAUCCGGCUGAUAACCGGAAGGUCGGAGGUUCGAGUCCUCUUGAGCCCA
Molecule: transfer RNA, 74 nt
Filed under: Clostridia bacterium
Lineage: Bacteria; Bacillati; Bacillota; Clostridia
Description: tRNA-Ile
Rfam family: tRNA
About the family: Transfer RNA (tRNA) molecules are approximately 80 nucleotides in length. Their secondary structure includes four short double-helical elements and three loops (D, anti-codon, and T loops).
Source: RNAcentral